UAAAUAAUUAAAUUAGUCAAAUAAAGUAACUUAACAAAGGUACCAUUAUAUUAUUUGUAUCAAUAUUUGAAUUGAUUUAACAAACAAUUGAACUUUUAUGGUAUGGUAUUAUAUAUGUAUGAGCAAAUAAUUUAAUAUCUGAGUACGAUUGUGAAUAUGGAAAGGCAUUUGGCCUUUCUAUCUUAUUUAAGAUACAUAUGUCCAUGAAAUAGUCUUUCAUUAAAAAUCCAUUUUUUAGAAAAGCCACUUUUGUAUAUAUUAAUGAUAUUUCAACAUUCCGAUCCUUCCCUAGACUACAACAAGACUUAAUUAAUAUUUUAGCAGUCAUUACCAAUACUUCAUGCAAUUCAUUAUUUUCUGUUAAUCUCAUUUUCAAAAACCUACAAUGUUGCAAUAAUAUCUCAGCUUCACAUGUAACAUAUAAUGUAUUUCUGUAACAUAUAAGACACUAUUACAGCAUUACCUCCCUUUCACACUAUUAUACUGAUAUUUCAAAACAAAUUUCAACGUCCUUUGAAUUGCUAUAUGGCUUUAGAAAAUUGUGUAUCUGUGAUUAAAGUUCAUUUCUACAAUCCUCUUAUAAAAUAGGAAUGUUGCUACCUUCCAGUAAGGGAAGGAAUUUGUUGGUUAGUGAUUGACCUUGCUGAUAAAGUAAAAAUGUGUUUAUUUAAGAGAUGUUGAAAUGAAUAUUGAAACACUAUCUGUAUACCUACAUAUGAUGAAAAGAGACAAGGAAAAUAACCAAAAACACUUGAAAGCUUUAAACAUUGAAAAAAAGGAAAUGCCUCUUGAAAAACAGAGCUAAAACUUAUUUUUUUCAAAUUUAGAGAUAAAAAGACUUUAUCCUUUCUUUAGCAGGUUUGCACAAAUCUAUAGCAACCCAGGAAACUAUCAAGCAAAUAUUGAGUCUUGAAAAAUAGUAUUUUGAAUCUUUAUUAACUUGUAGAAAUUUAUAAAAAGUAUAAAAUGACCUCUAUCUGUAUUUCUUAGUCUUUCUUUAUAUCUAUGAUCUGUUGUAUUCACACACAGCUUGCUUUCACCAAAUAAAAC
Molecule: long non-coding RNA, 1050 nt
Filed under: Mytilus galloprovincialis (Mediterranean mussel)
Lineage: Eukaryota; Metazoa; Mollusca; Bivalvia; Mytilida; Mytilidae
Source: RNAcentral